RNAcentral lists this long non-coding RNA (1088 nucleotides) under Olea europaea subsp. europaea. The record is from RNAcentral. Lineage: Eukaryota; Viridiplantae; Streptophyta; Magnoliopsida; Lamiales; Oleaceae.
UUUGUCACUGUUUUAAUAAUAAAAACUACACGAUUCGGGCAUUAUCUUGAAUAAAAAAUCUUGGCCACUUGUAAUGGACGUAAAUUUUACGUCCAACGAGCAAUAACAAGUUUUGUUCCAGAUAAAUUUGGGUUGACUAUAUGAAUCAUUUUCUUACUUGAGAAGUGAAGUGACGUCCAAAAAUCAGUUAUUCUGCUAUUAGAAUAUCAGCACUUUUACAAGGCAUCUCCCACAUAUUUUCUCGUAUUAAAUUGCCAAAAACUCUUUCUUCUGCCGCUAUUCAAUGAAUGGUCCUUGAUGGUUCAACCAUGAAAUUUUCACAUCUUGCAAGCUUGAAGAUUCAGAUACAGAAAUUGAGAAGGAAAAUUAUGUGCAGUAGUUCUGCAAUUAAAUUGAUUAGUUUUCAGAAAAGAUUGCAGGAAAAUUGUUGUCAUGGAUCAUAUUAUGCAAGAUUGUUAAUUUGGAGGUUCAAAUCACCAUGGAGUAAACUUCUGAGGAGGAAAAGCAACACAAUACGAUACAACUACGAUGCUCAAAGCUACUCUCAAAACUUUGAUGAAGGUUGCUCAGACGACAACCCUUCGCCCUUAGCUCCCCGUUAAUUCUAAUCUUUGUAUAUAUUGAGUGCAAGGUAUGCUGGAAUCAGCGGUGUUGAAUGUGAUCUUGUUGUACGGUACUAGGUACUAAACGUGUCCUAAAUAGUUUGAUUUUUCUGGUGUCAAGAAGGCAUUAAGAAAGCUUUAUUUAUUAUUAUUAUUUUUUUUUUCUGUUUGGGAUACUUCGUAUCUAGCAUACCUUAAGAUCAAGGUCAAUAUAGUUCUUAAUAAAACUUAUAUUACCUACCACAACUAGCUUAAAUGCUAAUAUUUUUCAAGAAACUUAUAUUACUUGUUUGAAUUUGAUCAAAGAUUAAAAAUUUUCCAGAUCCCACCUACAAUUUGAUGACUGUCUGGAGCCAGUUUCUUCUUGUUUAUGUUUAAACUUCAAGUUCCAUAACUUGUCAGAUCAAGAAAUCAGCAACUUGGCAGAUGUAAAGUUGUAUAAAUCGAAUAGAAUUUUGUAGUCUGCUGCUCUUUUUUCUUUUUGAG